UCAGCCCCACACGCCUCGCCGCAUUUACGGGCUCGCGCCCGACGCUGUCGCCGAGGAAAACGUGACGAUAAUUAUUCUGAGGUUUCUCACGCCACGGCGCAGGAAACCUGGAGCCAGAGCUUCUGCCGUUGCGUCGGGUUUUGGUGUCGCUGUCUUAAUAGUAUUAGCGCAGUCCUUUGAGCAAACAUGUUACAAAGAAAGAAACCGCGGCUUCGUGGCGGCGGAGCCCGCUUGUCGCAAUCUGGCUGUGAUUCUCGGAGCCAAACGGGAUCACAAGGAGCUGAUGCUCCUGCGGUCACAUCCAGUCCAUGGUGACAAAAUUAAUAUGCAGGGUUACAUUGACAGUUUGUGACCGUGUACUGGAUCCUACCACGGCGUUCUCUGGUAUGGUAGCCGUUGGCUAUAUGGUGGUAAGCCACAAGGGAGUGGAUGUAGUCUGGAGAAGUAUGAGGUAGUAAGCUACUGUGUAUAAUCUGUGUGAUCACAGACAUAUAGACCUCCCUGCACUAGGGUAUGUGUCUAUCAGGCAUUUGUCCUUAAGGAAUUCAGUGCAUUGAACUUGAUCACACUAAGAAUUCCAUUUAUUUCAUAGAGUGAUGGACCUGGGAGCUGAAUCAAUAGACUGUCGCUAUCCUUCAUUAAACCACAUAGAAAACAUUCCAUUACCGUUAAUAAAGUCAACGUGCCUUUUAUAUUGGGCCGCAUUUGCAGUUUAAACCCAUAAUUUGAAAUCUGAGAUUGAAGGACACUGCAGGUGCCAAUUUAGAUGGGUGGUCAUUGAACCCAAACGUCUAGUUAAAUCAUUCAUUAUAAAUUUCAAUGCUUGUCUCUUAACAAAAUUAGUUUUUUUCCCCGCCUGUCAUAUAUCUGAGUGCAUUUCUGUACUUUUAUGAUUUAUUUAUUGAGGUUCGUUUUAAUGCUUGCUCUCUUGGCGCGUGCCUUGCUGUUCUGUUAUUGCAGGAAAAGGGAAGAAAGUAGAAGAGAAGAAAUAUGACCAAAGAUGGUAAAAGUGGAUUGGGCUUGGUGGAGCACAGACUGUGUUCAGAAAGGCCUAAAACAUGCCCUGUUUGCUGGAUAUUCGCUUCUCAGCAUUGCCCCAAAGAUUAUCUAUGCAGCUAAACUAGCAGCUGGAUCUGAGCAGCUGGUCUCGCUAGUAGGCCCAUCUGGUUGACGUGCCCAGCAGGGCGCUCUUCCACAGCCUGUCCAUGGCCUGGGUCUCCAUCCAAGGCUGAUGACACGCCCGCUGCUGGAGGCGCAGAUGUUCCGUGGCACUGGGAUGAGGUCAGCCGCAGGCUUGGACGCUGCUCUCCGGGCCCUGCCGCGGCCCUCGCGAGGCCAGGAUCGCACGGGGUUAAACUGCGGAAGGGUUGGAGAAUGAAGAUCUUCCCCGGGGAAGGAACGGGGGGAAGACAUCCAACAAGACACCUGGCAGAGAGAGAGGGAGCCUGUCCCUGGGCCUCAGUGAUGGUGUUGAAAUGUUCUGCUGAGCACGGUGGAUGAAUGGGUCCGGCCCUUCCGAGGAAAAACAGGAGAGGCACACCGCAAGACCAGGAAUUCAGAUGCUGGUUUACUCUGCAAGCUUUAUUUGAACAGCAAAGAAAGUUCCCUCGGUUCCAAAACCCACUUCCUCGGUAAUGAGGCUGUGUAAAGUCUGCCUAAGCAGCAUGUUAUUUUCUUCAGAAAUAGAAGGCGGUUUGGGAGUUCUGGUCUGGAGAUCUGUGUGGCGAAUGGAGCUCUAUUUUAAACAAGCUGGUUGCGGCUUUUGGGGAGAGGAGCAGGUUUGUGUACCUCCUUUUAAUAUACCUCUCAAUUUACCUGGAACAAUAAUGAGAGCCAUAAAUCAUAAUAUAUCUUUCCCUCUGUUCAAUCCAUAGCAGCUUUUAAGGUGAACCUACAUAUAUGGU
This is a long non-coding RNA of Anguilla anguilla (European eel), 1904 nucleotides long. RefSeq lists it as uncharacterized. The transcript is spliced from 3 exons. Lineage: Eukaryota; Metazoa; Chordata; Actinopteri; Anguilliformes; Anguillidae. The record is from RefSeq and is a predicted model, not a curated record.